Molecule: non-coding RNA, 222 nt
Organism: Lonchura striata (white-rumped munia)
Lineage: Eukaryota; Metazoa; Chordata; Aves; Passeriformes; Estrildidae
Source: RefSeq, a predicted model, not a curated record
AUGCAGAGUAACCAGUGAGCACCUCCUCCCCUGCCCUGCUGUGCUGCCCAAGGGAUGGGGUCCUCCUUGGUUCCUCACACCAGCUCUAACCCACCACGGUGUCUCCCCAAGCCUGGCCCUAAGGAGGGAAGAUGCUUCUGGUGCUUUGGCAAAGAGUACAAGAUUGUGAGAGCCCUUCAGGUUUUGCUGAGGGCUCCUCAGAGUGAAGAGCUGCUCUUCUGG